Panicum virgatum (switchgrass) is the source of this 3962-nucleotide long non-coding RNA. RefSeq lists it as uncharacterized. Lineage: Eukaryota; Viridiplantae; Streptophyta; Magnoliopsida; Poales; Poaceae. The transcript has 2 exons. The record is from RefSeq and is a predicted model, not a curated record.
CGGGCUCUCCCUCCCGCGCGCCUCCCGCAAACCUCACCGGCAGCUUCCAGCGCCUCGCCUCCCGCCGAACCCGCCUUGCGCCGGCGGCUCGAGUGCUGCCCGCCUCGCCUCCAGCGGGCUUCGGCCGCCGCGGCCGCCGGGACUCGCCACCUGCAGGCUCGGGCGCCCCCACCGGGACGCGUGCGGCCUCCGGGCGCAGCCGUGACGCGCGUCGGCUUAGGGCUGCGGCUGUAGUCGCCGUGACGCGCGCACGUCUCGCUCGCCCCCGCGCUCCGGCCACCGCCGCCUUUCUCUUCCCCCAGCUUCCAAACCUCGGUUGUCACUGUUUUUUGCCGCCGGUGGUCGCCUAGGGCCAAAUCUGGCCGCCCCUUCACCGGAUCCGGCCGCCACCUUGCCGGAUCUGGUCGGGACGCUCCUCUCUCGGCUGGCAUUGCGGGGAUCUGGCCAUCCUCACCGCCGGCGGCAGCCCACAACCGGCACAGGGCGCCUCCUUCCCUCCUCCUUUCUCUUCCCCUGGCCUCCAAACCUUGGUUGUCUCUGUUUUUUGCCGCCGCCGGCCGCCCCUACCUCCUUUCUCUUCAGUGCUCGACCGUGGUCCUCAUCGAACUCCCAUAUAAGAGACCUCGCUCCUCCUAAUGCUGCGGACACAGUGAUCCGGCGGCCGACAGCACCACGGACCUCUAAACCAUUGUUGUACGAGCGGCCGGCGGUAGCGUCCAGCGAUCCGGUUAAUAACUCUACCUUGUGCAAUUAAUUCCUCUACGGCACAGGUAAUCGCUGGUGUCAAAAUGUAGCUAGGAGGUGGGGUGCUCCGCGAUCCAGCAGACGUAAUGCCAGACUGGUACAUUUUGAACUCCAUGUGCUGAACUCAAUUAUUUUUCUUGUGGUUUUCUUGAUGUUUCUACUGUGAUGGAGUGACUUACACAUUCCACAUGCGAGUUUUGCUGUGAUAAUUAGUAAGAAGCUUGUUCGUUCAGUGCAUCCCGCUAUAUGAAUAUAAUUAGUGACGCCUUCAGUAUUUUAAAAUUUGCGGUAUAUGGUGUAGUAUUGCAUAUGCUUAUGCCUUUUACUGCUGAUAGUGACGGCAGCUGGUGUCUCAUUUGAACGGACAUUGUAAAGUGCUGUUUAGAAGUUCAUUUGGGGGAGAGAAAGAGAGCUUACAUUGCAUUGCAGCUGUCGUGCUGAUAAUGGGUUAAAUCUGAGGCAUUCAAGUGAUCUCGUUUUCCUUUAUUGAAGCAUGUCUAAAUGACACCUUGAGUUUCUAAGUCUUUAAAUGACAUGUUGAGAUGUGCCAUGGUCCAAAUAUUGUUGUGAGGAGUGAUAUUGGUGUGGCAUCUAAGACCACCUAACCCACUCUUUGGACUAAGCAAAACCUUCGAGGUAACCCCUAGGGUUGUUUUGAAGGUGGCUUGCAUUGCUGACCUAGAUCUCUAGGGGCUCUUCACUUCACUUCCUGCUGGAUUCGAACCUAGGACCUGUGUCAAUGUUAGUGGGACUAAUAUGUCAAGUCAAUUCAAUCUCAUGGUUUCCUGCCUUGGUCUCAAGAAUGAAGAAAUAAAAUUCCAAUUGGGGGUAAUGAUCAACAAUGAUUUCUGAGAUAAGCACCUUUGAGGAAUCAGGGCUGCUGUUGGCAUUUAAGUGGAAUCCUCUGUCCUCUCUUGGAAACCUUUUCAACUAUGCUCAAACGGUUUUGUUCUUGGAUGGUCAUGCCAUUUUUCAUGGAUGAUAACCAGGACAGCUCCACUUAUCUGAACAGGUUGAUCUGCUGAUAAGAGAAGGCGCGGAUACAGUUAUAUGAUCGAGCAAAGGCGAAGCUAAACCCACUCAAAUAUUUUACUGCUACCCACACAGUACCUUAUGUAAUUUGUUUCUUUAGUUGAAUAAUGUUUUUGCAGCGUGUUUUUUUUGUCUAACCUUUUUGCUAAAUUAUUUUCCUUUCCUUACACCUGCCUAACUUCAUGCAGUUACCUUCUACCUUGCUGCAAUAUCAGUGCUUCCCCUGCAUGAAAAUACUUUCAGUUACCUUCUUUUAUCUCAAAAUUUCUCGCAAUGUUUUUUUGAGUUAUGUUUAGGUCCUGUACUCCUGUUGGACUUGGGUGAGUUUGGACUCUGAAGGCAUUGUGCUUUGUUCAGAGUCCUGUACUCCUGAAGGCAUUGGUCCUGUACUCGCAAUGAUAAGUUCAGAGUUUUGUUCAUUGUUCCCCCUUCUGUGUUGGUCCAAAGUUCUAACUGGGAUCCUUUUGCAGGUUUGUUCAUCUCUCUUCUUGUCUCUAGAUGAAAUAGAUGAGCCUACAAUCAAUGCUAUCAUGAACUGCAUGAGUAUUGGCCCUAGUUUGCUAUCCAUACCUUUUGUUUUUUUAGAUUAUAAUCACUCAGCUUGACUUUAUUACCAUACUGAAUCCCUUUCUAUUUGUGAUAUGCUGCUAUUUUCCUUGGAAGAUUCUUUAAUCAAGAAUUUCUGCUAAUAUUUAGGUAUGCGCUACCAGUAUCUCUUAUUGUGAUUAAUGAUGCUCAUUGUAUUUCUGGAUGGUGAGUUGAUACCUACUUGUAGCCACUUUGUUUAACUGGAUAGCAAUUUGAGUUACACAGUCUUGAUUUUAAUUCAUUGGAACUUGGGUAAUCUUUGAUGGAUUAGGUGCAUGCUGAACAAUCUAUAAAAGUGAGCAUUUCCCUCUCUAGGUAUCUCCAUGCUAUCAUACCAUCUGAAGAAAGUUUAGCUAAGGUUCUUAACAGGACACUUUGUUGGAUAAAACCAAUGUUCUUACGGCGUUAAGGCGAGUUGUGGCGAGUCACCACCGCCUAGCCGCCUAGGCGGGCUAAGGCGACGCCUAGGCGGGCUAAAACGCCUACGAGGGCCAAAACAGGGGAGCGCCUUGUUGCCUAGGCGACGCCAUAAGAACAUUGGAUAAAACCAAUGCUUUCAGUAGUACUUUGGUUUGGUUCAGGAGGGGAAGUAUAAAGAGCUUAACCAUAAUGUCUAGGUAGCUUUAGAUUUAAUACUAAUAUGCUCAACUCCUAGUGAUGUCACAUGAAAGUUCUUCAUUGAUCAGAGAACUUGAGGAGGCUUCUUUACUAAGUAACCAUUGAAAUGCUUGAAUGGUAAAACAGUUUUACAGACUUGUUAAAUAGAAGUAUAAUUCCACAUUCCCUGUGGUAUGUCACAUUAUUGGCCCUUCAACUCUCUUGUGUGUAUGCACAUCUAUUGCAGUAAUUGAAUGAAUAGAUUGUGAAAUCAAUGACAUCUUUCCUCUCUCUUAAAGUUAGCUGCAAUAACUUUCCAAAUUCUUCUAAACCAAUGUGUGAUAGCUCAUGACAGUUUCUCAUGCUCACUGUACUUUCCAGGAACGUUACUGAUCAUAACAAAAUGAAGCCACCAGUUCCAACUUCUAAAUCGACAGCUAGCAUGGUAGAUGACCUAUUUGUUGUUCUAGACACAUCCUCUGCUUCAGGUUCUGCAUAUACAUCCCUAGGAAGAUCUGCAAAUCCCUUGGAAGAUCUAGAGAAGCCUGCAAACUCUGAAGGCAAGGCUGCUGCUGAUAGUUUAUUUGAGGAACCAAUUACAUUUGACCAGGCUCCAAAAUCAGAUCGUUUGUUUGCCUCUGAAGUCAAUGGUCAUGCCAAGGCCACCAGUUACAGAUUUCAGGCUCUUGAUGAGCAGUACUAUAAAUCAUGGUUUCAUAUGUGUCCUGCAUUGGGUAAACCUGUUCCAUUUUGCAACCUGUAGCCAAGUGCCAAGUGAAUAAGCUUGCGAUUGACAAUAGUCUAUUUUGAUAAUGUGGUAGUUUCCAUCAUUGGGCUAUAUGAGCCCCCAAAUUAUGUUUGUACCGGUUCUUUUAUUACAGCCAUGAUGUUAGUGGUCAGCUCUCUAAAACUUAUUUUCAUUCCCCUAACAAUUGUAUGUGGUUAUUUAUAUAUAAUCCCCAUGCUUUAAUAUAUGAUUCAAAGUGGAGGUUUUGCUCUGA